AGCAGGAUAACAAGGGGCGAUCAGGGAUAAUCCGAAGAAGAGCUAUUCCCAUUGCAAUGGCAGCAAAUAUCUUGUGCAGACAGAUGGUCCAUAAAGCUUUCCAAGCAUCGUUUUUCGUCUCUGCAACUCCAAUUGCAAUGCCCUCGAAGACAGAAUGGAAACACAAAGCGACUAUAAGCAAAAUGCUGUCCCCAAAUGAUCUGACAGUUGCAAGUGAGGAUUUUGCAGAGGCAGCAUCAGUACCAUUGUGCAUCUGAA
RNAcentral lists this unclassified non-coding RNA (258 nucleotides) under Hevea brasiliensis (rubber tree). Lineage: Eukaryota; Viridiplantae; Streptophyta; Magnoliopsida; Malpighiales; Euphorbiaceae. The record is from RNAcentral.